CUCGCCGCGCGCCAGCUCCACCGACGAGUCCUUCCAAUCGGCACCAUCGAGCCGGCCGAACCGUCUAUGCUUGUUUUCUUCCAUCCAAUCAAAUUUGGUAUCACAUUCACUUUUGGCAAUCUGCUUGCUCUUGGGAGAUACACUGCUCAAGAGGUGGAAAUAAGCUCAUCCAGGAUCUGACCAGCAAUCUCUUCUUCUAGAGUCAAAAAGGUUAGUCCCAAUUCUAUCUUUUUCUUCUGGGGUUUCAAACAAACAUAUCUAUGCUGUGUAUUCAUGUUCCUUGAUGUUUGGUGAUUGAAAGCUAUCUUAAAUGGUGAACUAAGUAUGAAGUCCACACCACAUGUCUCACCUGCAUUUGUUUAUAUUGCAUUUAUUAGUAGAUGGCAAGUUCAUCAAAAGAAAAGGCAUUUUAGAGCCCUGAAGAUGUUGAAACAUUUUGUAAGUUAUGCGUUGAACAAAUUGACAAUGGCAAUCGUCCUGCAAACAACAAAAGGGAUGGAUGGACGGUUAUAAUUAAGAAG
This is a long non-coding RNA of Eucalyptus grandis, 521 nucleotides long. RefSeq lists it as uncharacterized. The transcript has 3 exons. The record is from RefSeq and is a predicted model, not a curated record. NCBI's taxonomy places the organism in Eukaryota, Viridiplantae, Streptophyta, Magnoliopsida, Myrtales, Myrtaceae.